GAAGAUCUUCUAAGGUGCUCCCAACCCCCACUCCCAAUGCAUACACUCUUGAAAUGRGUUAAGGCUCGGCAGCCUGAGAAGACAGCCAUUCGUGGGUGUAAUUUAACCACUGCUAAAGGAAGGAGCUGUGAUAUGAACUUGGAUGUGUGGAUUACCUGUCUGGGUGUGGACCCUAUGAGUAGYGUCUGGUGGCUCCCGCUGGGAGCCUGCCCUGUUAUCUUCCUCUGUGUGCUCACCGGCUCCUGCCUGCUCAGAACUCUCUUCAUGGCUUUGGUAUUAUGCUCAGGAACUUUUAGGAUUACAAGACCCUUGAUUACUGGUGCACAGAGGUAUCAUCAUGAGUGAUCCACUGUGGAGGAUAGCUAAACACAUCAACUUCCAAAAUAUUGAGAUUCAAGGGGAUGUUCAAAGAAGUUUCCAUAGCCUGGUGCGGUGGUGCACAUCUAUAAUCCCAGUGGCUCCAGAGGCUGAGGCAGAAGGAUCACAAAUUCAAAGCCAGCUUCA
This is a long non-coding RNA of Urocitellus parryii (Arctic ground squirrel), 504 nucleotides long. RefSeq lists it as uncharacterized. NCBI's taxonomy places the organism in Eukaryota, Metazoa, Chordata, Mammalia, Rodentia, Sciuridae. The record is from RefSeq and is a predicted model, not a curated record.